Molecule: ribosomal RNA, 253 nt
Filed under: uncultured bacterium
Lineage: Bacteria
Description: partial 16S ribosomal RNA
Rfam family: Bacterial small subunit ribosomal RNA
Source: RNAcentral
UACGUAGGGUGCGAGCGUUAAUCGGAAUUACUGGGCGUAAAGCGUGCGCAGGCGGCUUUGCAAGACAGAUGUGAAAUCCCCGGGCUCAACCUGGGAACUGCAUUUGUGACUGCAAGGCUAGAGUACGGCAGAGGGGGAUGGAAUUCCGCGUGUAGCAGUGAAAUGCGUAGAUAUGCGGAGGAACACUAAUGGCGAAGGCAAUCCCCUGGGCCUGUACUGACGCUCAUGCACGAAAGCGUGGGGAGCAAACAGG